GGGCAUCCUUUUCUUGAAAAACGUUUUCGAUUUUGUUCGAGUUUCUUUGUUUUUCUUGAUAUUUGCGUGGUGGCUUUCUCCGAAAAUGUAAAUUUUUUUUUUUUUUUGUCGCCCUCCGGAAAAUGUAAUUAGUAGUCGUAAUUAGUAGUAUAAGAAGAUAUGGAUGGUUGAUGCAAAGAAAACUUUAUGCACACGUUGAGAUAAAGAUUGCCAUACACAUAAGAAAAUUCUUUUAGGCCUUUUUUAUUUUUACUUGGCCAUUCCCACUCUCAAAGUACAC
RNAcentral lists this long non-coding RNA (280 nucleotides) under Capsella rubella. RNAcentral's name for it is "long non-coding RNA (CRUB_LNC004542)". The record is from RNAcentral. Lineage: Eukaryota; Viridiplantae; Streptophyta; Magnoliopsida; Brassicales; Brassicaceae.